RNAcentral lists this ribosomal RNA (426 nucleotides) under uncultured Prevotellaceae bacterium. Its description in RNAcentral is "bacterial SSU rRNA". It matches the Rfam family "Bacterial small subunit ribosomal RNA", at positions 355 to 776 of the family's 1533-position model. The record is from RNAcentral. Lineage: Bacteria; Pseudomonadati; Bacteroidota; Bacteroidia; Bacteroidales; Prevotellaceae. RNAcentral also lists the same sequence under 1 other name.
UGAGGAAUAUUGGUCAAUGGCCGGGAGGCUGAACCAGCCAAGUAGCGUGCAGGAUGACGGCCCUCGUGGUUGUAAACUGCUUUUAGUCGGGAAUAAAAGGGGGUUCGUGAACCCCGUAUUGUAUGUACCGUCAGAAAAAGGACCGGCUAAUUCCGUGCCAGCAGCCGCGGUAAUACGGAAGGUCCGGGCGUUAUCCGGAUUUAUUGGGUUUAAAGGGAGCGUAGGCGGGCCGUUAAGUCAGUUGUGAAAGUUCGGGGCUCAACCCCGGAAUUGCAGUUGAAACUGCCGGUCUUGAGUACACGCAGGGAAGCCUGAAUUCAUGGUGUAGCGGUGAAAUGCUUAGAUAUCAUGAAGACGACCGAUCGCGAAGGCAGGUUUCCGGAGUGUAACUGACGCUGAGGCUCGAAAGUGCGGGUAUCAAACAGG